This 28-nucleotide non-coding RNA is filed under the name Gallus gallus (chicken). The record is from miRBase by way of RNAcentral. Lineage: Eukaryota; Metazoa; Chordata; Aves; Galliformes; Phasianidae.
AUCCUGUGAUGUUCUAUAACUGAGGUUU